This 440-nucleotide ribosomal RNA is filed under the name uncultured bacterium. RNAcentral describes it as "partial 16S ribosomal RNA". It matches the Rfam family "Bacterial small subunit ribosomal RNA", at positions 338 to 795 of the family's 1533-position model. The record is from RNAcentral.
CCUACGGGUGGCAGCAGUAGGGAAUAUUGCUCAACGGGGGAAACCCUGAAGCAGCAACGCCGCGUGGAGGAUGAAGGUUUUCGGAUUGUAAACUCCUUUUGUUAGAGAAGAUAAUGACGGUAUCUAACGAAUAAGCACCGGCUAACUCCGUGCCAGCAGCCGCGGUAAUACGGAGGGUGCAAGCGUUACUCGGAAUCACUGGGCGUAAAGAGCGCGUAGGCGGGAUAGCAAGUCAGAUGUGAAAUCCUAUGGCUUAACCAUAGAACUGCAUUUGAAACUGUUAUUCUAGAGUAUGGGAGAGGUAGGUGGAAUGCUUGGUGUAGGGGUAAAAUCCGUAGAGAUCAAGAGGAAUACUCAUUGCGAAGGCGACCUGCUGGAACAUUACUGACGCUGAUGCACGAAAGCGUGGGGAGCAAACAGGAUUAGAUACCCGGGUAGUC